Molecule: ribosomal RNA, 254 nt
Filed under: uncultured bacterium
Lineage: Bacteria
Description: partial 16S ribosomal RNA
Rfam family: Bacterial small subunit ribosomal RNA
Source: RNAcentral
UACGUAGGGGGCAAGCGUUGUCCGGAUUUAUUGGGCGUAAAGAGCUCGUAGGCGGUUUGGUAAGUCGGAUGUGAAAUCUCCAGGCUCAACCUGGAGGGGUCAUUCGAUACUGCCAUGACUAGAGGUCGGUAGGGGAGUGUGGAAUUCCUGGUGGAGCGGUGAAAUGCGCAGAUAUCAGGAGGAACACCCGUAGCGAAGGCGGCACUCUGGGCCGAUUCUGACACUGAGGAGCGAAAGCGUGGGGAGCGAACAGG